AUGAACGCUGGCGGCGUGCCUAGUACAUGCAAGUCGAGCGAACAGACGAGGAGCUUGCUCCUCUGACGUUAGCGGCGGACGGGUGAGUAACACGUGGAUAACCUACCUAUAAGACUGGGAUAACUUCGGGAAACCGGAGCUAAUACCGGAUAAUAUAUUGAACCGCAUGGUUCAAUAGUGAAAGACGGUUUUGCUGUCACUUAUAGAUGGAUCCGCGCCGCAUUAGCUAGUUGGUAAGGUAACGGCUUACCAAGGCAACGAUGCGUAGCCGACCUGAGAGGGUGAUCGGCCACACUGGAACUGAGACACGGUCCAGACUCCUACGGGAGGCAGCAGUAGGGAAUCUUCCGCAAUGGGCGAAAGCUUGACGGAGCAACGCCGCGUGAGUGAUGAAGGUCUUCGGAUCGUAAAACUCUGUUAUUAGGGAAGAACAAAUGUGUAAGUAACUAUGCACGUCUUGACGGUACCUAAUCAGAAAGCCACGGCUAACUACGUG
Molecule: ribosomal RNA, 496 nt
Filed under: uncultured bacterium
Lineage: Bacteria
Description: partial 16S ribosomal RNA
Rfam family: Bacterial small subunit ribosomal RNA
Source: RNAcentral